This 478-nucleotide ribosomal RNA is filed under the name uncultured bacterium. RNAcentral's name for it is "bacterial SSU rRNA". It matches the Rfam family "Bacterial small subunit ribosomal RNA", at positions 51 to 525 of the family's 1533-position model. The record is from RNAcentral.
ACACAUGCAAGUCGAACGGUAACAGGGAGCUUGUCCGCUGACGAGUGGCGAACGGGUGAGUAAUGCGUCGGAACGUGCCGAGUAGUGGGGGAUAACGCAUCGAAAGGUGUGCUAAUACCGCAUACGAACUGAGGUUGAAAGUGGGGGACCUUCGGGCCUCACGCUAUUCGAGCGGCCGACGUCUGAUUAGCUAGUUGGUGAGGUAAAGGCUCACCAAGGCGACGAUCAGUAGCGGGUCUGAGAGGAUGAUCCGCCACACUGGGACUGAGACACGGCCCAGACUCCUACGGGAGGCAGCAGUGGGGAAUUUUGGACAAUGGGCGCAAGCCUGAUCCAGCCAUGCCGCGUGUCUGAAGAAGGCCUUCGGGUUGUAAAGGACUUUUGUCCGGGAGCAAAUGCCUGGUGUUAAUAGCACUGGGAGCUGAGAGUACCGGAAGAAUAAGCACCGGCUAACUACGUGCCAGCAGCCGCGGUAAUA